Molecule: long non-coding RNA, 1376 nt
Filed under: Anas platyrhynchos platyrhynchos (common mallard)
Lineage: Eukaryota; Metazoa; Chordata; Aves; Anseriformes; Anatidae
Description: lncRNA (ENSAPLG00000021272.1)
Source: RNAcentral
UUUCAUUCCUUUCCUUACCAUCUAGCUGCAAAAUAUCCUGUGGGUUAAAGGAUGGCACAUGGAAUGCGGGGUUUCAAAAACAACAAAAAGGGCUGUCUUUAAUGCUGUGCUAUAAGACGUUUUUCACUAAGGGAUUUUAAAUUAGUUUUCAAGGGGGGUUAUAUUCUAGCAUUCCUUCAAUGAUUCUGACAGAGAUGCAUGGACAAGACAAAUAUCUCAAGACAAACAUAUUUUGUAAUUCUAAAGUUUUAGGGAAAAAGAAGGAAAUUUGGAAUUCAUUUAAUCACACUGGCAAUUUGGUCAAAAUUAUAUAUAUAUUUUUGUAUCAUUGUCAAACAUAAUGUUAUCUUUGUAUCCACUUACAAUAUAAGCCUUUCAAAAGAUAUGUAAUGUGGAAGUGCCACGUUGUUUUUAAGUCUUUGUGACUAUGUCAGCCUUGAGACUGGGUAGGCAUGCCACUUUCCACUGUGUGACCACUAUUCUUGACAGUGGAAUGAGUUAUCACCGAAUGUUAAUGCCUCUCAUGUUCUCUUCAUUAUACAUACUCAUUUUCAUGACAAAGAGUGUAAAAGGAACAGAAUAUGGUGCAAAAUUAAUAUCUUCUCCUGACAAUCUGGAAGCGGUAUUCCAUGAUCUUACACUGAAGGCACAGCUGAGGACUUUGACAACUGUUUUGGCUUGUAAAAACUUAUUGCGCAUAUCUGAGAGAAGAGAACCAUGACUAUUGGUGUUGACUUCUGAUGAAUUCACUUACAACACUCAAGGAUUUCAAGCUGGAUGCUGUGGAUUGAAUCACCUUGAAUCACCUUUCUGACUGCCUUUGUAGAAACAUGGAAGUACUUUCUGGAAGUAGUCAUGGGUAUUUGUAAUAGUGGGUGGGAUUUCCAUCGGGGUCUUAAUUCUGUAUUCAGUCUGAGGUUAGCACAGCUUGCAGUAGACCAGGAUCACCAGUUUCCCUGGUAUAAUGAUUUCUGGUAUGUCCUUAACUUUUAGGUAUUUAAGUUUUUGUUUUACAUCAUUUCCUAUAUUUUGUAAAAUGCAAAUGUGUAAAAACACCUCCCCCUUUCAGGUAGGUGAAUGCUUCAAAUUAGCUUUAGUAAAUAUUUUAAAGGAAAGGAAAUGUUAAAGUUCAGAUUCUGCAUUUUCCUUGCCUCUGUCAUGGCACAGUUUAAACCCAUAAGUCUAAUCUUUUACUGGUUCAAGAAUCCACAUAUAUCUGUGCUUCCCUCUUUUUUCUUUUGAUAGAUGUUAAUAUAUUUUUGUACUCAUCUAUCUUGUUAUAUUACUCCAUUAUUAUUACUUAAUUGCACUGUUAUGAAGCCCAGAAUCAUUAACAUCUAACCCUUCACAAUAAAAGCAAAGUUGAACGGUUUGCA